Molecule: ribosomal RNA, 427 nt
Filed under: uncultured delta proteobacterium
Lineage: Bacteria; Deltaproteobacteria
Description: partial 16S ribosomal RNA
Rfam family: Bacterial small subunit ribosomal RNA
Source: RNAcentral
UGGGGAAUAUUGCGCAAUGGACGAAAGUCUGACGCAGCGACGCCGCGUGAGGGAUGAAGGUUUUCGGAUCGUAAACCUCUGUCAGAAGGGAAGAAAGGCAUCUGUGCUAAUCAGCAGAUGAUUGACGGUACCUUCAAAGGAAGCACCGGCUAACUCCGUGCCAGCAGCCGCGGUAAUACGGAGGGUGCAAGCGUUAAUCGGAAUUACUGGGCGUAAAGCGCGCGUAGGCUGUUUUUUAAGUCAGUGGUGAAAUCCCCGUGCUCAACAUGGGAACUGCCAUUGAAACUGGGAAACUAGAGUGUGUGAGAGGAUAGUGGAAUUCCUGGUGUAGGAGUGAAAUCCGUAGAUAUCAGGAGGAACAUCAGUGGCGAAGGCGACUAUCUGGCACACAACUGACGCUGAGGUGCGAAAGCGUGGGGAGCAAACA